Molecule: ribosomal RNA, 633 nt
Filed under: Papiliotrema laurentii
Lineage: Eukaryota; Fungi; Basidiomycota; Tremellomycetes; Tremellales; Rhynchogastremaceae
Description: eukaryotic LSU rRNA
Rfam family: Eukaryotic large subunit ribosomal RNA
Source: RNAcentral
UAUCAAUUAAGCGGAGGAAAAGAAACUAACAAGGAUUCCCCUAGUAACGGCGAGUGAACCGGGAAGAGCUCAAAUUUGAAAUCUGGCGUCCUCAGGGCGUCCGAGUUGUAAUCUAUAGAGGCGUUUUCCGUGCCGGACCGUGUCCAAGUUCCUUGGAACAGGAUAUCAAAGAGGGUGACAAUCCCGUACUUGACACGACGACCGGUGCUCUGUGAUACGUCUUCUACGAGUCGAGUUGUUUGGGAAUGCAGCUCAAAAUGGGUGGUGAGUUCCAUCUAAAGCUAAAUAUUGGCGAGAGACCGAUAGCGAACAAGUACCGUGAGGGAAAGAUGAAAAGCACUUUGGAAAGAGAGUUAAACAGUACGUGAAAUUGUUGAAAGGGAAACGAUUGAAGUCAGUCGUGACCGAGAGGCUCAGCCGGUUCUGCCGGUGUAUUCCCCUCGGUCGGGUCAACAUCAGUUUUGUCCGGUGGAUAAGGGCGGUAGGAAGGUGGCACCCUCGGGUGUGUUAUAGCCUGCCGUCGCAUACAUCGGGUGAGACUGAGGAACGCAGCUCGCCUUUAUGGCCGGGGUUCGCCCACGUCCGAGCUUAGGAUGUUGACAUAAUGGCUUUAAACGACCCGUCUUGAAACAA